This is a long non-coding RNA of Ictalurus punctatus (channel catfish), 2303 nucleotides long. The record is from Ensembl. NCBI's taxonomy places the organism in Eukaryota, Metazoa, Chordata, Actinopteri, Siluriformes, Ictaluridae.
GAAAUCUGUUUGUUGAACUAGUCCAUUGUUCACUAAAGGAGACCUGAGUGUAAAACUGCAUGAGGUAAUUGCAGUCACAAGGCCAUCGCAGCGACCGUCGUCCCAGCAACCACAGCGAGAACGUCCAUGCGGAACUGAGAACUGCACCUGUCCUACAAUUUGUUUACAGUAACCCUAACAAACCUAGGUGCGUCCAUAUUCAGGUGCUCAGACCUGCAGGGAGGACGUGAGCGCUCGGAGUUGCACAGGAAUUGUUUGUCAUUUAUUCCUUGUCCUUACUUUGAUCUGGUGUAAGGACGCAUCAGUAAACCAGGAGAAUUCGCUGGUUUUAUGGUGACCAUCUACGUUGCUGUUAUCACGUUGGAAUUCUGUCUAAAGGACUUCCUGUUUUAUACCUUCAUUCUUUUUUUCUUUUUUUUUUUAAUGAUCAUUUUUGUAUUUGGUCUAAAAUUUGCCUGCUUCCCACUUCUGUCAAGUUUUUGGACGUGGAAUAUCUUUCAUUACGGGACUUCUUUUAACAUUUGGGUCGUCAAAAGAAAUCAUUUCAGUUCAUCUGAGACACAACGUCAAAACCGGUACGGAAAGCAGAAGCAAGAGAGAGAUACAGAGAAGAAAACACUGAGUACUGGAUUCAUCCUUUUAAAAGCCACGACCCUGAAUCUGAUUAUAAUUUGAUCGUUAUUUAACGACUAGUUAGUGAGGCACCUUUUAGCUUUAGUUUUAAGUGUUCAGAAGAAAGUAUUUCUAAAUACACAGCACAAUCAUUCACACCCAAAACUAGGUGUGCAUCUUCGUCGGUCUUGCUCUACCAGUUGUACUAGAUUUUUAUUUCCUUCCAGUGAGUUUUUAACCGAAUGCUUUCACUGUCACUCGGUGUUGAAAGGUAGCUUUGGAUGGAAGAUCUGUGAUGUCCAAUGUGUAAAAAUUUGUGUAAAUGAAAGAAGAAAAAGAAAGAAACAUGACUCUAAACAUAAACAUCAAACACAAAGAAGAAGCUUAUACAGAAAGCAGAAGAAAAUCCUGACAGUGAGAACAAACUCACAACAUGAUUGGAUGAAUUCUCAGCUAGACCCUGAAACCGACGCGAUGACGAGUUCACACUGAUGAUGGAGUGAAACUGUCAGUGGAGGAGACGGAACCAGCACGGACCCAGAGCUCAGUGCGACCGUUCCACUCCGACUACGACACCUACGACCUACGAGAUUCUGAUGAAGAGGCAGAGGAGGCAGAAGAUGCAGAUGAGGCAGAGGAGGUUUCCCAGCUGGAAAAUAUUCUACAGCUUUCUGUGCGUGAAGAAGAAAGAGGAAACCUUCUUGCCAGGUCUUUGGAUGAGUCUUCGGAGGUCAACAACUAUACAGAUGGUGGAGUGAAACUGUCAGUGGAGGAGACGGAACCAGAAUGGACCCAGAGCUCAGUGCGACCGUUCUACUCCGACUACGACACCUACGACCUACGAGAUUCUGAUGAAGAGGCAGAGUGAUCUAACUCUAAACAUGGACCGUGACUACGACUACGAUACGAACUAAACUAACUCUAUGAUAAUCUGCCGCGUUGUGUGCUGGGAGGCGCGCGUUAUAUAUGUGGACAUGAUCAGUGUCUAAACCGCUAGCAGCUGAGAGCAAUACAGACACACGUGAAAUCCCAGCCAAUGGCAGAACAGGGAGGAGACAUGACAGAAACAUAAACAAAACACACAUGUCCAGAUGUCAUUACGGUCAACAAUGGAAAAGCAGGCACUCGCGCAUUCGCGCUUUGAGCACACUGCUUCAAGGGGGAGUCUUGACAGAACCCCCCCCCCCAAAGGCACUCCUCCCGGAGUGCCAUGAGUCCUCCCUUCUCAUUGGCGGCCCCGGGCCCCUGGGCUGAAUGUCCCAAGCAGAGCCAGGAAACCACACGGUGACGGAGCAGGGAAGCAGAGCGACCCCAUGUCACUAUGGUCAACAAUGGAAAAGCAGGCGCUCGCGCAUUUGCGCUUUGAGCACACUGCUUCACGGGGGAAUCAUGACACAGAGGAGGCAGAGCAUAAUAAUAAUAAUAAUAAUAAUAAUAAUAGCUAAUUAUACAGUAAAUGAUAAGUAAUGUAAUUUAUGUUAUAUAAAAAUAUGUAUUGUUUUUUGUGUAUUGUAUAUGCAUUUUUUGUAUCUAAAUAAAGACUGUUGAUAUAUGUCGUUAUUUCUUUUGUUCUUCUGUUGCUGUGAAAUUUUGUGAAAUAUAACAAAUAUAUAUAGCCUUCUCAAUACAAAAAACUAAGAACGUAAAAUGGACAACAGAAAUAGCAAAAUAUUAACGUAAAACAAAUCACU